RNA transcript from Vitis riparia (riverbank grape), 3246 nucleotides. It is a transcript of the gene named probable inactive poly [ADP-ribose] polymerase SRO1, with no coding region annotated. The transcript has 7 exons. The record is from RefSeq and is a predicted model, not a curated record. Lineage: Eukaryota; Viridiplantae; Streptophyta; Magnoliopsida; Vitales; Vitaceae.
CGUUGGGUUUCUUGAUUUUUGUACCAUCGGCUCUCGUCCGUUCUUGUUGUCGGGUCUAUCCUUAGACAAUUUUCACGUCAAUGCAGUGAUUGCUUCGAUGGGGGUUUUCUGAUAUUGUGCACGAGAUCGGAGGAGCCAUGGCUUCGAUUUUGCCAUCUGAAAUCAGUAGACCGAAGAUCAAUGUUCCCAGAAUCGGUGCUGUGGUCCCUCCAAAUCCUAGAAUCCGAUGCAAGGAUUAUGUUCAGGAUUGUUGUUCCUCUCAUCUGGAGGUUCAGAACCAGGUCAACUUCGAACGCAGCGGUGUUCCAUCAAGAUUCAUGUUCUAUAGAGAUGGUUCCUGGGUUGAUUUCCCAAGCCAGGUGUUGGAGAAUGUGAGACCGGGUUUCUUGGAGCGCAAGACUACGAUGGAUGUUUCGAUCGAUGGCUCAGAGUAUCGUUUCGAUUUUCUGAGAAUGUUGCAGAUCGAUAUCUUGACGGGUAAGGGAAGAUCGAUUGCUUGGAUUGAUGCGAAUGGGAAGUGUUUCUUUCCGAAAUUAUUCGUUAGCGAAGAGGCUGCCGAUGGAUCGGAAAAUCUGAAUACGAAGAGUAAAAUAAGAUCCGGUGAAUACUUUGGGAAGAGGAAGAGGGAGAGAUUGGAAUCUCAGGAAGAAAGCGAGGGAAAUUCGUCAACUAAUCGAGAAGCUGUGUCAAGACGGUGGAAUUCAAAUGAUCAAGAAGCUGUAUCAAAACGACAGCGUAUUCAAACAACAUGUGAUUCAGAGACGUGUAAGUGGCCGAACGUGAAAUUGAUGAAAAAAGGAGGCAGACCGUAUGCAAUGGCCGAGAAGUUCUUUUUGUCUCGGUUAAAAGACACUGAUCCAGCUGUGAGAGUAACCGCAAUUCAUCAGUGUACGUGGAAGGGUCCUCUGGAAAAAGCACGGUGGGAUGUUUUUCAUAAGCAGAUGGAGAGGACAAAGGCUGCCCAAGGGAUCUGCAAUACCACAUUUGCUUGGCAUGGGACGUCGGCCAAAACCGUAGCCAGCAUUUUAACAUAUGGCUUUGGGGUGCGGAGCCAGAUUGAUGGAUCUGAACCACAUGGGUUUGGUAUAUACCUGUCUUCUGUGCGUUUACCGCAUAUAAGUGCUAUGAUGUCCGAGGCAGAUGAUAAUGAAGAAAAGCAUGUAUUACUGUGCCGAGUAAUAUUGGGUAAUGUUGAAAUGGUUGAGGAUGGACCGCUUCCUUCUAGUGUGAAUUUUGACACUGGUGUGGAUAAUAUUGAGAAUCCUACUUGGUAUGUGGUAAAGUGGGCCAAUAUGAACACUCACAUUCUUCCCCAGUGUGUUGUGAGCUACAAGUCUUCCCAUAAUGCAUCAGGACAAAUGAGACCGUUAGCAUUUCUGAAGUGGGUUCCAUAUUCGUCAAAUGCAUUUGUUGUGAAAUUGUUUUCCAAGUUGGAGAUUUUGCUUCCUUCUGAAAAAGUUCAGGAAUUGGAGUCUUGGUGCAAAACAUACAAGGAUGGCAAGCUGCCCAAAGGUGCUUUGGUUGUUCUCUUUGGAGGAUCGACUGUUUUGUAGAUCAUCAUAAUUACCAUGAAGAUUGGGCCAAACCUUUGACAUUGUGAUCUGGCAUUUGGAAAGUGCUUCUGAUGCUCUAGAUUUGAUGGAGAUGAUGUGUGUACUUCAAAUGUUUUUUUAUUAACUUAUAUAAACUCAACAGCACAACAAAGCCUCAAUCUGGGCAAGUGGAACCUUCUUUAUACAUCCGUGUAGGAAUUUUUUCCAGUUGAAUAAAACUUUAGUUCAAAAUUUUAUGGAUUUCAGAGCGAUGAUGUGCGUGUCUCAGAUGAAUUUUAAACCGAGAAGGAGACCUCAGAGUAACAAAUGAUAUAUCUUUCAACAACUAUGUUGAAUUUUUUUCCCUACCAAUAACUCGAUUUUCAUUUUAGAUCAUCAAUUUUUGCAUUUCAUAUGGAUCAUGUGGGUACAAUGGCCUCACCCAGGCAGUCAUCUGGACGGGAAACCAUGUGGAGCGAGAGUCGCUCAGGUCUUCCGGUUGACCUUGCCCAAACACAGUGCGAGUGCCUGAAGGGGGGCUGACAAAAGCAAGCUCACAUUUGUGAGCAUUACCGUUCCUGAAAAGCGUUUUUGGGAAAGUUAAUGUGCAUACGUUAUUCCAUUAAUACCUAACGGUUGUGCGUGUAAUUGAGGAACUGAAGGGCAGUUGCAAGAGCCUAUAAAAGAGCCGAAGGCAGGACGAAGGGGGUAUUCUGAACUCUGUAUGCAUUAAGUCUUUUUGCAGGAAAGCACUGACUUAACCUUUGGGGAAUCGCCUAGCCUUUUCUGCAAGAUCCAAUAGAUCAUUUGCAAUCUUAAAUUCCCUAGUUAAUUUUUCAUCUUAAAGCUUCCAAAUGAUAAAAUAUCUGGAAUUUGGAAAAGAGCCAUUUGAUUUUGUGACUCCUAUUAGUCAAAUAUUAGAAAAUUUUCUGAAAUAAUUGAAUGAAUUAUUUGAUGAUUCCACAAUAUUGCAUCAAACAUAUUAAAUUUUCAGUCAAGUGGAUGAGUUUAAUCAUCUAAUUCCUUUUGUAAUUAUGUUUAUCAUCUACAAUGGUGUUGCUUAGCAUACUUUCAAAUAUUUCUGGGAUCGAUAAUUUCAUAUUGUAAUAAUGCAUAAAACGUAAGAUCUCCUUUUCAAGCACCGUUGCAUGACUUAGGGGUUUCUCAUACUAUAUUUGACAUGUAUUUGUAAUUCUGUGGCUUUCUUUCUGACCUGUUUUCAAGUCGGCUUCUGUCUUAGUAGCUAGUUGGCGACUUGAUGGCAAAGGAUGCUGAAUUGUCAGUCUGGACGGUUGAGUAAUGCAAAUAAAUAAGCAUUUUAAAGCUCGACUGCCGAUGAUUUUGUCUUUCUGGAAUCUGAAUGAGACUGCUAGGAAUGCUGUUGCUCGUCUGCUUGAGGUGGAACUUGGAAGCCAAAGAGUGGUCAGGAUGUUCUAAAACUUUCACUAUGCCUCUUCCUACAUGCUGAUCAUCGAAGUACAUUAUAUACAAGUGUAAAUUGCCAGGGAAGAACUCAUGGUUCUAAAAGGAGAACCUGUCUCCUUUAGGAGGUGCUCUUCUCCAACCCCUUCGCAGGACCUGCGAGUUUAUAGCCAAAGCCAAUUAAGCGUCACCCACUGGGAGAUUAAAAGCUAAACGUGUUUUUAAAAGACACUGGCAAAGGGACUAAAUGCCAUGAACUUAAACUAAUUGUCACUGUGCAUAUUGAACCAAA